Long non-coding RNA from Tarenaya hassleriana, 183 nucleotides. RefSeq lists it as uncharacterized. The record is from RefSeq and is a predicted model, not a curated record. NCBI's taxonomy places the organism in Eukaryota, Viridiplantae, Streptophyta, Magnoliopsida, Brassicales, Cleomaceae. The transcript is spliced from 2 exons.
AGCCUCUGUAGCAAAUCCCUUGAAGAGCUACAAGAGCAGAGUUUCGAGGAGAGAUCAACUCAUGACAAGAGUUUAAAGAGAGAAAGAGAUACGGCAAGACAAUGUUGACUGAGAAUUUCCAUCUAGCUUCACAGCAAUAUCAUCAAGAGCUUUGAUACCGGAGCCAUAUGUCGUCUUCAGUUU